RNAcentral lists this ribosomal RNA (459 nucleotides) under uncultured bacterium. RNAcentral's name for it is "partial 16S ribosomal RNA". It matches the Rfam family "Bacterial small subunit ribosomal RNA", at positions 338 to 795 of the family's 1533-position model. The record is from RNAcentral.
CCUACGGGAGGCAGCAGUGAGGAAUAUUGGUCAAUGGACGAGAGUCUGAACCAGCCAAGUAGCGUGAAGGAUGACUGCCCUAUGGGUUGUAAACUUCUUUUAUAUGGGAAUAAAGUGAGGAACGUGUUCCUUUUUGUAUGUACCAUAUGAAUAAGCAUCGGCUAACUCCGUGCCAGCAGCCGCGGUAAUACGGAGGAUGCGAGCGUUAUCCGGAUUUAUUGGGUUUAAAGGGUGCGUAGGUGGUUAAUUAAGUCAGCGGUAAAAUUUCGGGGCUCAACCCCGUCGUGCCGUUGAAACUGGCGUUCUUGAGUGAGCGAGAAGUAUGCGGAAUGCGUGGUGUAGCGGUGAAAUGCAUAGAUAUCACGCAGAACUCCGAUUGCGAAGGCAGCAUACCGGCGCUCAACUGACGCUCAUGCACGAAAGCGUGGGUAUCGAACAGGAUUAGAUACCCGAGUAGUC